RNAcentral lists this ribosomal RNA (509 nucleotides) under uncultured bacterium. RNAcentral's name for it is "partial 16S ribosomal RNA". The record is from RNAcentral.
GGAGUUAGCCGGUGCUUCUUCUGUGAGUGAUGUCCUUCCUGCCGGCUAUUAACCCGCAGGCCUUCUUCCUCACUGAAAGUGCUUUACAACCCGAAGGCCUUCUUCACACACGCGGCAUGGCUGGAUCAGGGUUGCCCCCAUUGUCCAAUAUUCCCCACUGCUGCCUCCCGUAGGAGUCUGGGCCGUGUCUCAGUCCCAGUGUGGCUGAUCAUCCUCUCAGACCAGCUACGGAUCGUCGCCUUGGUGAGCCGUUACCUCACCAACCAGCUAAUCCGACAUAGGCUCAUCCGAUAGCGCGAGGCCCGAAGGUCCCCCGNUUUCCCCCGUAGGGCGUAUGCGGUAUUAGCCUGGGUUUCCCCCAGGUUAUCCCCCGACUACCGGGCAGAUUCCUAUGCAUUACUCACCCGUCCGCCGCUCGCCACCAGGGAGCAAGCUCCCCGUGCUGCCGCUCGACUUGCAUGUGUUAGGCCUGCCGCCAGCGUUCAAUCUGAGCCAGAAUCGAACCCUGA